This 76-nucleotide transfer RNA is filed under the name Faecalibacterium prausnitzii. Its description in RNAcentral is "tRNA-Ala". It matches the Rfam family "tRNA". From Rfam's summary of the family: Transfer RNA (tRNA) molecules are approximately 80 nucleotides in length. Their secondary structure includes four short double-helical elements and three loops (D, anti-codon, and T loops). Lineage: Bacteria; Bacillati; Bacillota; Clostridia; Eubacteriales; Oscillospiraceae. The record is from RNAcentral.
GGGCCUAUAGCUCAGCUGGGAGAGCGUUCGGUUCGCAUCCGAGAGGUCAAGGGUUCGAAUCCCUCUAGAUUUGCCG